Long non-coding RNA from Drosophila biarmipes, 4471 nucleotides. RefSeq lists it as uncharacterized. The transcript is spliced from 3 exons. The record is from RefSeq and is a predicted model, not a curated record. Lineage: Eukaryota; Metazoa; Arthropoda; Insecta; Diptera; Drosophilidae.
CAUAUUUUGUAGAACUGUCACAAGCAAGUGUACCAGAGGGAGAGCGGUUGAUUAGUACGGUCUCGAGUGGAGCUUUCCAGGAGAACCUACGGUUUCGACUCGUUAAGUACCGGAUCGGCGUAUGCCCGAGACCCCGAGUACCGGAAGCCAUACUACGUUCAGUCAGGAGCAGUUCGUAGGACAUCGCCAUCAGUAAGCAAAACACCACAUCGCGACAGCCACACAAGAAAGAUCGAGUCCCCAGGGAGGCUAGGGUGGAAUUUCUGUUUAGACUAGGUGUAUGCCCGAGAACCCGAGUACCAGAAGCCAUACUACGUCCAGCCACGCAGACAGGAGCAGUUCGCAGGACAUCAAUAAGAAAGACACCACGUCGCGACAGCCACGCAAGACAGAUCGAGUACCCAGUGUGUCUAGGGUAGAAUGUCUGUUUAAACUAGGCGUAGAAACAAAGUGAAGCGCGAGGUAGCUUCCUGGGGUUCAGCCUUGACUGUCCGCGUGAUGUGGUCAGAAACCGUAGUGGGUCUAUCCGGUUCGUGUGUCAAAAGAUGUAAUCGUGGAGAGCGCGGCAUUCUGUUCAAUACAGUCUGAGAACGGUGGCGCUUUCCUAAGCCCACAUGGCUGCCCACCCCGGGAGUCUAAGUCGUUGCCAAGCAACGCGUCACGGACAAGCAGGGAGCAAGUAUCUUCAGGGAGCUAUAGGACUGCUUCACCAGUCAGUCAACAAGGCGAGAGGACAUCGAGGCAAGCAGGACCGUCGAAGACACUAUUGUACCCUCACUAAACCCCCUACGAACCCGCAAAUUCUGUAUUUUUUACCGAACUACUGGGCUAUAACGUUUAUUUAAAUUUUGUGGGACGAACACACACAUUUUACAUAUAAACGAAAGACUUUUACUUAUUAGGCUUAAUAUAACUUCAUAUAAAAAAAACGGCACAAAAUUUAGGGUGGCAAAAUUUUGGUUGAAGUUUUAGGACGGCAGUCCAGUCAAGAAAUAAUUAGUUUAAUAUAUUUCUUGAGCUGUCAACUUCGGCAUCAAGGCCGAAAAGCUAUUAUGCCUCUGUAAGCAAUAUUUUAAUAGUAUCGCAAUUUUUAUCCCACAAUGUAUUCUUAAAUACAAACGGCGACAACGGGCAAGGGUAAACCAAAACGAUACGUUUAUAAUGUACUCUGUUUUUUGUGCAUAUAUUGCAUCUGUUGGAACUGGUCCUUUUUCAAGACGUGAGCCGAAAUACGCAUAAACCCAACAAGAUCUAGGUCGCUUCUUAUUGUUUAAAUUGUGCCGUGCGACACAUUUUGAUUUAUUUAUAAAAGUAAUAUUUUUUACAACCUUACAAGACGUUAUGCGCUGACUCACGUUUAAAAUACUCCCCUUUUUGAGAUUAUUUAUAGGUUUUACAGCAUAACCUAGAAAAUUCUGGUUUCGUUAACCGAAGGUGACAUGGUGAAAUGUUUUUUGUCAAUAUUAAUCCGGCAAAGGUUUUACGCAGGUGGAAUAGAACCGUUGGCCUAGGACUUAGAGGGUCCAGACAAAUGGUUCAGGUGGGCCUAUGUAAAAAACUAAUUAAUGAAUCUGAAAGAUAGGCUGAUUAACAAUUGUUGUCUACAGACAGAAAACCUAAAUAAUUUAAUUUAAAUAAAAUAAAGUAAAAUAUAAAUAAAUAUGUAAGUAUUUUAAAUUUUAUAUUUUAUUCUUAUUCUAUAUUUUCAAAUUAACCCUCAUCGAAAAUAUUUGAAAUUUUACAGGGAUAUCAAAUGCAUUUUCACUUGUGAAAAACCGGACAACCCACUUAAUUAAUACUUCUUAUACUUCACACAUGCAAGCUGCAACGUAACGCGGUUUAACACGGUGAUUCAUAAGUAAACCUCAGCUUCGGAACAGAAGGGUUGCUUUAGUAAUUCUUUUUGUUGUUUUCCUGUGCAGGAUUUUUGUCGACAUUGAUUUCUUCUAGUGACUUUCAGAAUCUUUUUAUCCCUUUGUAUAUUUUGUCUUGGAUUGUUAAUCGUGAUAGUGGAUCUGCGAUGUGAUUGCCGUUUCUCUUUAGAUUUUCAACAGUAAAAUUUUACACCUCUAAGUCAAGUUUAAUUCUUGUUAAUUUGAAUCUAAUUUUGAAUAGGAUAUGGAAAAUAUAUGUGUAAGUGGGCUACGGUCUGUUUUUAAUGUGAAGAGUUUUUCGUAAAUAUUUGUUCCCAGGUACUGUCGGAGUACUCUUUCUGAAGAUGGUGGCUCUAGGUCGGCGACUGCUGCUACGUUUUCCGGAUCCGAGCCUAUUCCUUCGCUUGCGGUGAUAUUUCGGGACCGAUGAAACGGUCCAGUACUCGUUGAAAAGCCACACACGCCGAGUGAAGUCCAAAUGCCAUUAGUUUUCACUGGAAUAAGCACUUAAAACGCUUUGCCAGAAUAUAAUUUAUUCGGGACAUUUGGUAGGCAUCCUUUAUAGGGUUGGCGUUGAUUUGCCUGAAGUCUGCGCACAGUCUCUACUUGUCCGUAAUUUUGUUAACCAUCACAAUGGGAGAGCUGUAUGGUAUUUUUGAGUGCUCUAUGUACCCCAUUGGAAGAAACUCGUACACCUUUGCGUUGAUGUCCCAUUGAACUUUCGAAUUCUUGGGGUAGUAUCGUUGCUUAACUGGUUUGUCUUUCUUAAUCGUCAUCUGUUGCCAUGUUUGAUGUUCUCGUCAUAUUAUCGAAGAUCGCUAACUCUGCAUCCAGGGAUUUCGUCGUGUCGUUAUCCUCGCAUGUGUGUUGCACGACUGCCACCGAACUUGGCUUUAUGCUAGCAACAUUUGAGAGAGAAAGAGAGACAACAGGUUGGUUAUGCUGCUAAGUAUGCAGCCUUCAUCCCGAGCGCUUCGCUUCUGAUCACACGUCAACUCAUAUUGACAGUCAAUUUUAAAUGUUCAUUUGAAGCCGGAAACCCUUUAACGACACUGUAGUAUCCUUGGAGUUAUCUUGCAGUAUUCUUGGAGCUAUUUCGUUGAAUCCUUAAAGUUUUCUUGUAGUAUUGUGAGGAGUUGAAUAACUCCACAUAAAUCCAUCAGCAAUAGCAGCAGAUGUCCGCCCACUUACCAGGUACGCGGCGAAUUCGCGUAGUAACGGCGCGGCGAAGAGCGGUUGGAGAACGUGAGAGUUUGAGGAUCAAGGAUGGAGAACGUGAAAGUUUGGGGAGCGUGAAAGUUUGGAGAGCAAUAGGUGGAGAAAGAGGGAGAGAAGACCUGGCGGGCAAAGCGAGAGUGCCGUGUGCAAAAGGGCGUAACGGGACGCCGCCAGGCUUUGGACUCUGUCGUGAACUUUGAACCAAGAGAGAAGAGAGAAGGUACCACAUCUCGGCAGCGGAGCGGCACACAAGCAUACCACAUGCAUCACCGGAAACAGCGGGACAGCAGCAUUAGGCAGGAUGUCGGUGGGAAGCUGAGCAUGAAGGACAUGUGGGUCAAACAGGAGCCAUGGAUUUUGGACCCGGUGUGGAGAGUUUCGGCAGGCCGUGCGCAAAAGGGAAAUAAUGGUUCCCGGAGGCCCUAUAUAAACCCGCAGGGUGCUCUCAGAAGGGGGAGUUGAUCGGAUGGAUCGAUCGGGAUCAGUCGAUCACGAGCAGUCAAUCAGAGUCAAGCAAUCAAGAGUAGAUAACGAAGUCCUUGCGUUACGCCUGGAGGGUCUGCCAGAACUUGAGCAGAGAAGGCCGGCGACAAGAAAUCGUGAGCUCGGGGGUAAGCCUGUCUAAACCCAGUGUACCUCACCCCAAGAACUACUUUGAGCCCCGUGCGUCAAGUGGAAUUAAGCAGGUCCUGGCGGGAUCCGCCAGAAGGGAGAGCGGUCAAUCAGUACGGUCUUGAGUGGAAUUUUCCAGGACAGCCUAUGGUUUCGACUCGUAAAGUCCCGCAGCGGCGAGUCCGAGCCUCGAGUGUAACGAGCUAGAAGGGAGAGAAGUCCCGGAUCAGCGCAUGCCCGAGAACCAGAAGCCACGCUUCAUACACCCACGCAGCUUGGAGCAGUUCGCAGGACACGGCCAUCAGCAAGCAAGACACCACUUCGCAACAGGGUGGAACUUUCGUUUACACAGACGGUCGUGUGUCAAGAGGAGUGAUCCUGGAGAGCGCGUCAGUCUGUUCACCCCAGUCUGAGAACGGUGACGCUUCCCUAAGCUAGUCUGAGUCGUUGCCAAGCAAUCGCCGAGUCAAUGCGUCAAGGACAACAAGCGAACAAGGAUCUUCAGGAAGCUUCUGGACUGGAACACCGAGUCAAAGAGGCGUGAGGACAUCGAGACAACCAAGACCGUCGGAGACACAAAGGGCCAUCUACUGAGCUAGACGCACGAAUCUCGUAGGGAGCGGAACGUAAAAAAAUCAUUUCGUUACAGUAUCCCUGGUGUUAAUUUAUAGUAUCCUUGAAGUUAUCUUGUUAUUUUACUGUAUCCUUGGAGUGUUAAAAUGAAUAACCAAUGAAUCCACUACACUGUAGUGGCGACUGAAUCGGCC